Capsicum annuum is the source of this 570-nucleotide long non-coding RNA. RefSeq lists it as uncharacterized. The transcript has 2 exons. The record is from RefSeq and is a predicted model, not a curated record. Lineage: Eukaryota; Viridiplantae; Streptophyta; Magnoliopsida; Solanales; Solanaceae.
CGAGACCAAUCAAUCAAAAUUCUCAUUUUCUCUCUCUUCCUUUCCCUUUUCAUUCUAAGGUUUCACGCAUGUAACUUCCGCCAUUGUUAUCCAUUCUGAGCUUCAACAUGGUAUCAGAUACAGGUUCUCAAAUCUACUAGCUGAGAGCAAUCUAGCAAUCUUACCCUCAUUAAGAGGUUCUGGGUAUUUUGCGAUUUUCCAUUUCAGUCAACACAAAGGUCAAAGGGAGUUUUCAUGAACAGUUUUCACUGGUCUCAAGUGAGAUGUAUUUGGUAUAGCUUUACCCUCCAGAUUGAGGGGGGUUGUGAAGAUUGAUACUACUGAUGACAUGAAGCCCACUUGAUACUUAGUUAUUGGGCCUCUUUACCUGGCCCAUAUUUUCAGUUCUAGUGAUUGAUAGCUGAAUGAGUUCAAUAGAAGAUAUUUUGUAGAGUCAGUUGAGUUGGAAGUUUCGAGACUAAUCAAUCAAAUUUCUUAGUUUCUCUUUCUUUCUUUCCCUUUUCAUUCUAAGGUUUCACCCAUGUAAAUUCCACCAUUAUUAUCCAUUCUGAGUUUCAACUUGAUCUGCCA